This 1053-nucleotide non-coding RNA is filed under the name Pongo abelii (Sumatran orangutan). The record is from RNAcentral. Lineage: Eukaryota; Metazoa; Chordata; Mammalia; Primates; Hominidae.
UGUUGUUAUAGAGAUUGCCUGUGAUUUUAAGGAAACACGAUAACCACCAUUUACUAUUUACCCUGUGUCAAGAAUGUGAUCCUCCUAGCAACCCAAUGAGUCAUAUUGCAUGACCCUCAUCUUAUGAAUGAAGAAACAGAAGCUCCAAGAGGUGCCACUCGCCCACAGUCAUAGAGCUGGUGGGAGAAUCACUGAGUGAGUCUGAGGACAGAGAAUGACACUGAGUUUUCAUUUCUAAUUUAACUAAGAAGUCUUAGUAGCUUAGAACAUUGAAAUAACUUCUUUUAAUUUUCACACAUAGCUGUGGCUUCCAAGAGAGAACAUCAAUGUUUUUGACCAACUCGUAAUUUCAAAGACUGGAAAAACCAUGCUUAUAUGCGCAGCCUGUGUUCUGAGGACCAGACUAGAGGAUGCUUGUUUAUGCCAGUAGAAAGCAAAGCCACUUCUAGAUCAGAUCACCUGCUGCUGACAGUCAGAUCAAAUCAAUAGCACUGAAUGAGCUCCUCCCACGGACAGUACAGCUGCCUGGAAUUUGAAUAUGGUAUCUGGAGCUUCAGUAGUCAUCCAGGACUGUAAGUGUGAAAGCCAUGCACUGAGAGUGGUGGAACAGAAGCCCUGUUUUCUUUAGAUGCUGACUCCUGCUGUCCACCAUAUCCUCGUGGUGCAAUGACUGGUGUAGACCGGCUUGUUGAGGUCACUCUCUGGAUCUGAGCAAUGUUGGCUGAGCCGUGACGAAGUACUCCUGUCCAUCCACUAUGCUUCACAGUGGGAAUCUCUCCCUGUUCACCACCACUGCCCUAGCAGCCGCAGGCCUUCUCCUCUUCAGAUGGACUGCAGGGAGCCACGAGACCCUAGUUUCAGCUGCUCAUCUUUGAGCACAGCCACUGCAUAGAGGGUUCAGUGAAGUGAGUGGGGCUCUUACUCCCCACCAAGCAGUGAGUGGCUUUCUGCUGUUCCACUCCAGAGGCCUCACCUCCUGUGUUUUUAAACUCCAGUUUCUGUCUUUCCCUGUUGGCACCAAACUUAUCUUCAUAAAAUAUAAAUCAAAUCACA